This 253-nucleotide ribosomal RNA is filed under the name uncultured bacterium. Its description in RNAcentral is "partial 16S ribosomal RNA". It matches the Rfam family "Bacterial small subunit ribosomal RNA", at positions 524 to 776 of the family's 1533-position model. The record is from RNAcentral.
UACGUAGGCAGCAAGCGUUGUUCGGAAUUACUGGGCGUAAAGAGUGUGUAGGCGGUGCUCUAAGUCUGUUGUGAAAUCUCCCGGCUUAACCGGGAGGGUGCGGCGGAAACUGGAGUGCUUGAGGGUGGGAGAGGUAAGCGGAAUUCCUGGUGUAGCGGUGAAUGACGUAGAUAUCAGGAGGAACACCUGUGGUGUAGACAGCUUACUGGACCACUUCUGACGCUGAGACACGAAAGCGUGGGUAGCAAACAGG